CGAACCGUCCAAACGUUAUUCGGAAUUACUGGGCUUAAAGGGUAUGUAGGCGGCGCUGUUAGUCGGGUGUGAAAGCCCUCGGCUCAACCGAGGAAUUGCGCCCGAUACUGCAGUGCUUGAGGGAGACAGAGGUAAGCGGAACUGAUGGUGGAGCGGUGAAAUGCGUUGAUAUCAUCAGGAACACCGGUGGCGAAAGCGGCUUACUGGGUCUCUUCUGACGCUGAGAUACGAAAGCUAGGGGAGCGAAGGGGAUUAGAUACCCCCGUAGUCCUAGCUGUAAACGUUGAGCACUUGAUCGGGGACCCCCCAUAGGUUCUCGGUCGUAGCGAAAGUGUUAAGUGCUCCGCCUGGGGAGUAUGGUCGCAAGGCUG
RNAcentral lists this ribosomal RNA (371 nucleotides) under uncultured organism. RNAcentral's name for it is "bacterial SSU rRNA". It matches the Rfam family "Bacterial small subunit ribosomal RNA", at positions 526 to 896 of the family's 1533-position model. The record is from RNAcentral.